ACUCCUACGGGAGGCAGCAGUGGGGAAUAUUGGACAAUGGGCGCAAGCCUGAUCCAGCCAUGCCGCGUGAGUGAUGAAGGCCCUAGGGUUGUAAAGCUCUUUCACCGGUGAAGAUAAUGACGGUAACCGGAGAAGAAGCUCCGGCUAAUCUUNGUUGCCAAGCAGCCGCGGUAAUACGAAGGGAGCUAGCGUUGUUCGGAAUUACUGGGCGUAAAGCGCACGUAGGCGGACUGUUAAGUCGGGGGUGAAAUCCCGGGGCUCAACCCCGGAACUGCCUUCGAUACUGGCAGUCUUGAGUUCGAGAGAGGUGAGUGGAAUUCCGAGUGUAGAGGUGAAAUUCGUAGAUAUUCGGAGGAACACCAGUGGCGAAGGCGGCUCACUGGCUCGAUACUGACGCUGAGGUGCGAAAGNGUGGGGAGCAAACAGGAUUAGAUACCCUGGUAGCUACGAG
Molecule: ribosomal RNA, 451 nt
Filed under: uncultured bacterium
Lineage: Bacteria
Description: bacterial SSU rRNA
Rfam family: Bacterial small subunit ribosomal RNA
Source: RNAcentral